UACAGAGGUCUCAAGCGUUGUUCGGAUUCAUUGGGCGUAAAGGGUGCGUAGGCGGCGCGGUAAGUCGGGUGUGAAAGUCUCGGAGCUUAACUCCGAAACUGCAUUCGAUACUGCCGUGCUUGAGGACUGGAGAGGAGACUGGAAUUUACGGUGUAGCGGUGAAAUGCGUAGAUAUCGUAAGGAAGACCAGUGGCGAAGGCGGGUCUCGUGGACAGUUCCUGACGCUGAGGCACGAAGGUCAGGGGAGCAAACGGG
This 255-nucleotide ribosomal RNA is filed under the name uncultured bacterium. Its description in RNAcentral is "partial 16S ribosomal RNA". It matches the Rfam family "Bacterial small subunit ribosomal RNA", at positions 524 to 776 of the family's 1533-position model. The record is from RNAcentral.